GUGGCAGUGCGUGGCCGAAUGGUUACGCUGUCCGCUUUGUAAGCGGAUGAUUCUGGGUUUGAUUCCCAUCUGAUACA
This 77-nucleotide transfer RNA is filed under the name Culex quinquefasciatus (southern house mosquito). RNAcentral's name for it is "tRNA-Thr". Lineage: Eukaryota; Metazoa; Arthropoda; Insecta; Diptera; Culicidae. The record is from RNAcentral.